GCUGGUAUGAUCGCAUCCGAAAAUAUUGUGUCGGCCGGCCCUCUUAUGGCGCCUCCGCGUUGCGCGGGUUGGGGCGCGCACGGCGCGAUUCGCGCCCGGGUUCCCAAAAACGGCCGUAACUUUGCGCUCGGGCGACCGUUUUUGACGUGCAGCCCCAAUCCGGAAACAGCACUCCGAGCCGGACGCCUUGGGCCGAUAAGCUGCGCUUUCUCGGCCCCUCUUUCGGCCCCCGAAAAUUCUAUCGUUUCCGGCCUCCGAUUCGUCGGUUUUGUGAAGCCGCGCGACGGACGAUGUUUUUUUCCUCUCUUUUUUCUUCGUUUUUGGUCGUUUUUUUUUUUU
Molecule: long non-coding RNA, 339 nt
Filed under: Ananas comosus (pineapple)
Lineage: Eukaryota; Viridiplantae; Streptophyta; Magnoliopsida; Poales; Bromeliaceae
Description: long non-coding RNA (ACOM_LNC039193)
Source: RNAcentral